RNAcentral lists this ribosomal RNA (422 nucleotides) under uncultured Oribacterium sp. Its description in RNAcentral is "bacterial SSU rRNA". It matches the Rfam family "Bacterial small subunit ribosomal RNA", at positions 355 to 794 of the family's 1533-position model. The record is from RNAcentral. Lineage: Bacteria; Bacillati; Bacillota; Clostridia; Lachnospirales; Lachnospiraceae.
UGGGGGAUAUUGCACAAUGGAGGAAACUCUGAUGCAGCGACGCCGCGUGAGUGAAGAAGUAUUUCGGUAUGUAAAGCUCUAUCAGCAGGGAAGAUAAUGACAGUACCUGACUAAGAAGCCCCGGCUAACUACGUGCCAGCAGCCGCGGUAAUACGUAGGGGGCAAGCGUUAUCCGGAUUUACUGGGUGUAAAGGGAGCGUAGACGGAACGGCAAGUUUGAAGUGAAAUACCUGGGCUUAACCCGGGAACUGCUUUUGAAACUGUGGAGCUAGAGUGCAGGAGGGGCAAGUGGAAUUCCUAGUGUAGCGGUGAAAUGCGUAGAUAUUAGGAGGAACACCAGUGGCGAAGGCGGCUUGCUGGACUGUAACUGACACUGAGGCUCGAAAGCGUGGGGAGCAAACAGGAUUAGAUACCCUGGUAGU